ACUCCUACGGGAGGCAGCAGUGGGGAAUCUAGGCAAUGGGGCGAAGCCUGAUCCAGCCAUGCCGCGUGAGUGAUGAAGGCCCUAGGGUUGUAAAGCUCUUUCGCAGGUGAAGAUAAUGACGGUAACCUGAGAAGAAGCCCCGGCUAACUUCGUGCCAGCAGCCGCGGUAAU
Molecule: ribosomal RNA, 171 nt
Filed under: uncultured bacterium
Lineage: Bacteria
Description: partial 16S ribosomal RNA
Rfam family: Bacterial small subunit ribosomal RNA
Source: RNAcentral